Molecule: ribosomal RNA, 277 nt
Filed under: Ocimum basilicum (sweet basil)
Lineage: Eukaryota; Viridiplantae; Streptophyta; Magnoliopsida; Lamiales; Lamiaceae
Description: partial 18S ribosomal RNA
Rfam family: Eukaryotic small subunit ribosomal RNA
Source: RNAcentral
CAACCAUAAACGAUGCCGACCAGGGAUCGGCGGAUGUUGCUUUUAGGACUCCGCCGGCACCUUAUGAGAAAUCAAAGUAUUUGGGUUCCGGGGGGAGUAUGGUCGCAAGGCUGAAACUUAAAGGAAUUGACGGAAGGGCACCACCAGGAGUGGAGCCUGCGGCUUAAUUUGACUCAACACGGGGAAACUUACCAGGUCCAGACAUAGUAAGGAUUGACAGACUGAGAGCUCUUUCUAGAUUCUAUGGGUGGUGGUGCAUGGCCGUUCUAGUUGGUGG